RNAcentral lists this ribosomal RNA (468 nucleotides) under uncultured bacterium. Its description in RNAcentral is "partial 16S ribosomal RNA". It matches the Rfam family "Bacterial small subunit ribosomal RNA", at positions 28 to 507 of the family's 1533-position model. The record is from RNAcentral.
GACGAACGCUGGCGGCGUGCUUAACACAUGCAAGUCGAACGGAAAGGCCCUGCUUUUGUGGGGUGCUCGAGUGGCGAACGGGUGAGUAACACGUGAGUAACCUGCCCUUGACUCUGAGAUAACUUCAGGAAACUGGGGCUAAUACCGGAUAGGAGCUCCUGCUGCAUGGUGGGGGUUGGAAAGUUUCGGCGGUUGGGGAUGGACUCGCGGCUUAUCAGCUUGUUGGUGGGGUAGUGGCUUACCAAGGCUUUGACGGGUAGCCGGCCUGAGAGGGUGACCGGCCACAUUGGGACUGAGAUACGGCCCAGACUCCUACGGGAGGCAGCAGUGGGGAAUAUUGCACAAUGGGCGGAAGCCUGAUGCAGCAACGCCGCGUGCGGGAUGACGGCCUUCGGGUUGUAAACCGCUUUCGCCUGUGACGAAGCGUGAGUGACGGUAAUGGGUAAAGAAGCACCGGCUAACUACGUG